AGUGCGAUAGUGAUAACAAAGAUAAUAAUUUGAUACGAGAUUAGGUAACGUAUUGUUGAGAUUGUGAAACGAAGAUUCUUCUGUCAUAUGCCGAAUUGACAUUUCCUAGAAAGCUACGGAUCGGAGACGACAAAAUGGCUUUGGUUGGUGGUGCCUUCUAAGACACGACCCGCAUCUAGCUAUCACAUGGGAUUGAAGGGCUCUUGACGUUGUUUGUCGGCCUUACACGCUGAGCUGUUAUUAGUUUUGUUGUGGACAAUAUGUAGUACACUGCAUCUCCAUUUUCAGAUCAAAUUGUGUCUACUCCUCCAAAAUAAGUUUUCGUCUUUUCAAAUCAUCUUUUUCAAAUUAUC
Molecule: long non-coding RNA, 353 nt
Filed under: Arabidopsis lyrata
Lineage: Eukaryota; Viridiplantae; Streptophyta; Magnoliopsida; Brassicales; Brassicaceae
Description: long non-coding RNA (ALYR_LNC000901)
Source: RNAcentral